AACGAACGCUGGCGGCAUGCCUAACACAUGCAAGUCGAACGAAACCUUCGGGUCUAGUGGCGCACGUGUGCGUAACGCGUGGGAACCUGCCCUUAGGUUCGGAAUAACUCCCCGAAAGGGGUGCUAAUACCGGAUAAUGUCUUCGGACCAAAGAUUUAUCGCCGUUGGAUGGGCCCGCGUUGGAUUAGCUAGUUGGUAGGGUAAAAGCCUACCAAGGCGACGAUCCAUAGCUGGUCUGAGAGGAUGAUCAGCCACACUGGGACUGAGACACGGCCCAGACUCCUACGGGAGGCAGCAGUGGGGAAUAUUGGACAAUGGGCGAAAGCCUGAUCCAGCAAUGCCGCGUGAGUGAUGAAGGCCUUAGGGUUGUAAAGCUCUUUUACCCGGGAUGAUAAUGACAGUACCGGGAGAAUAAGCUCCGGCUAACUCCGUG
This 433-nucleotide ribosomal RNA is filed under the name uncultured bacterium. RNAcentral describes it as "partial 16S ribosomal RNA". It matches the Rfam family "Bacterial small subunit ribosomal RNA", at positions 29 to 507 of the family's 1533-position model. The record is from RNAcentral.